AUCAACUUUCGAUGGUAGGAUAGAGGCCUACCAUGGUGGUAACGGGUAACGGGGUGUUAGGGCACGACACCGGAGAGGGAGCCUGAGAAACGGCUACCACAUCCAAGGAUGGCAGCAGGCGCGCAAAUUACCCAAUCCCGACACGGGGAGGUAGUGACAAUAAAUAACAAUACGGGGUUCUUUCGGAUCUCGUAGUUGGAAUGAGUACAAUUUAAAUCCCUUAACGAGGAACAAUUGGAGGGCAAGUCUGGUGCCAGCAGCCGCGGUAAUUCCAGCUCCAAUAGCGUAUAUUAAAGUUGUUGCAGUUAAAAAGCUCGUAGUUGAAUUUCGGGGUUAGUAGGUUGGUCAUGCCUCUGGUAUGUAUUGGUCUCACUGAUUCCUCCUUCCUGAUGAACCGUAAUGCCAUUAAUUUGGUGUUGCGGGGAAUUUGGACUGUUACUUUGAAAAAAUUAGAGUGUUUAAAGCAAGCUAACGCUUGAAUACAUUAGCAUGGAAUAAUGAAAUAGGACGUUCGAUCCUAUUUUGUUGGUUUCUAGGAUUGACGUAAUGAUUAAUAGGGAUAGUUGGGGGCAUUAGUAUUCAAUUGUCAGAGGUGAAAUUCUUGGAUUUAUUGAAGACUAACUACUGCGAAAGCAUUUGCCAAGGAUGUUUUCAUUAAUCAAGAACGAAAGUUAGGGGAUCGAAGACGAUCAGAUACCGUCGUAGUCUUAACCAUAAACUAUGCCGACUAGGGAUCGGAUGAUGUUAAUUUUUUAAUGACUCAUUCGGCGCCUUACGGGAAACCAAAGUGUUUGGG
RNAcentral lists this ribosomal RNA (796 nucleotides) under uncultured Glomus. RNAcentral's name for it is "SSU rRNA". It matches the Rfam family "Eukaryotic small subunit ribosomal RNA", at positions 314 to 1111 of the family's 1831-position model. Lineage: Eukaryota; Fungi; Glomeromycota; Glomeromycetes; Glomerales; Glomeraceae. The record is from RNAcentral.